UUUCCGUAGGUGAACCUGCGGAAGGAUCAUUACCAAAAGAUAAUCUUUCAUUCGAAAGAUCUUUUCCUUUGUGCUGGCUUUGACCGUAUGUAAUUUUGGGACUUAAACAUGAUACGCCUUUACGGUUUAUCGGUCCCAAAAACAAUAUAUCAUCCUUAUAAAAAACUUACUGAACUAAAACAAUUGAUUUAAUAAUCUGUUUAAAACAACUUUCAACAACGGAUCUCUUGGUUCUCGUAUCGAUGAAGAACGCAGC
Molecule: unclassified non-coding RNA, 256 nt
Filed under: plant metagenome
Description: partial contains small subunit ribosomal RNA, internal transcribed spacer 1, and 5.8S ribosomal RNA
Rfam family: 5.8S ribosomal RNA (bases 208-256)
Source: RNAcentral